RNAcentral lists this ribosomal RNA (468 nucleotides) under uncultured bacterium. RNAcentral describes it as "partial 16S ribosomal RNA". It matches the Rfam family "Bacterial small subunit ribosomal RNA", at positions 28 to 507 of the family's 1533-position model. The record is from RNAcentral.
GACGAACGCUGGCGGCGUGCUUAACACAUGCAAGUCGAACGGAAAGGCCCUGCUUUUGUGGGGUGCUCGAGUGGCGAACGGGUGAGUAACACGUGAGUAACCUGCCCUUGACUUUGGGAUAACUUCAGGAAACUGGGGCUAAUACCGGAUAGGAUCUCCUGCUGCAUGGUGGGGGUUGGAAAGUUUCGGCGGUUGGGGAUGGAUUCGCGGCUUAUCAGCUUGUUGGUGUGGUAGUGGCUUACCAAGGCUUUGACGGGUAGCCGGCCUGAGAGGGUGACCGGCCACAUUGGGACUGAGAUACGGACCAGACUCCUACGGGAGGCAGCAGUGGGGAAUAUUGCAGAAUGAGCGGAAGCCUGAUGCAGCAACGCCGCGUGCGGGAUGACGGCCUUCGGGUUGUAAACCGCUUUCGACUGUGACGAAGCGUGAGUGACGGUAAUGGGUAAAGAAGCACCGGCUAACUACGUG